Long non-coding RNA from Drosophila mauritiana, 597 nucleotides. RefSeq lists it as uncharacterized. The transcript is spliced from 2 exons. The record is from RefSeq and is a predicted model, not a curated record. NCBI's taxonomy places the organism in Eukaryota, Metazoa, Arthropoda, Insecta, Diptera, Drosophilidae.
CGUGGUUGUGGCAAUUAAAACGCGCAAAUAUGCGCAAAAACCUCGGUGCAACGCAACUUCGUUUUUUGUCACCGCCUGCAAUCGACAAAUAACCCAAUUUCAGCGACUGGUUGACAUUUUCAAAGGCCUGCAAAGAUAGUUCGGUGUGAAGUUUAUCGACUGCAACUUUCUACGAGGCAUCUAUCCUAUCAAUCCCUCUGAGCAAUCCCGAGCCAACUGGACCCAACUGACUGGCUGACUUUCCCAACUGCCUGGAUGGAUGGACUCCGCCAAAGAUAGCCAGUCGUGCGUUGGAUGCGACACUCGUGGUCGCAGUUAUCAGUUAUCUAAGCGUCUUCCUUUUGACGCAGCGAUAAGACCACAUCAUCACAAUCACCAAAGCAUUAUCGCCAGACUAUCCGGGGAUUUAUCUUAGAGUGCUACUGGUUCUGACUGCUCAACCCAAAGGGGGGUUAAGAAACUACUAUCGUUGAGAUUCAUACAUGUCACUUGAAUUAGUCGGGGAAUUACUAUAUUAUGUAAGCCUACAUUUCAUGAUUAAAGCUAUUUUUGGGAUAGCCAAGUCUAUUUUGCCACCCCUUUUGUGACACACCCAUG